RNAcentral lists this microRNA precursor (98 nucleotides) under Equus asinus (donkey). RNAcentral describes it as "mir-544 microRNA precursor family". It matches the Rfam family "mir-544 microRNA precursor family". RNAcentral also lists the same sequence under 1 other name. Lineage: Eukaryota; Metazoa; Chordata; Mammalia; Perissodactyla; Equidae. The record is from Rfam by way of RNAcentral.
AUUACCUGGGGAUCUUGUUAAAAUGCUGAUUCUGAUUCAGCAGAUCUGGGGUGGGACCCAAGAAUCUGAAUUUCUAACAAGCUCCCAGGAGAUGCUGA